GUACACUCCUGCGGGAGGCAGCAGUGGGGAAUAUUGGACAAUGGGCGCAAGCCUGAUCCAGCCAUGCCGCGUGAGUGAUGAAGGCCCUAGGGUUGUAAAGCUCUUUCACCGGUGAAGAUAAUGACGGUAACCGGAGAAGAAGCCCCGGCUAACUUCGUGCCAGCAGCCGCGGUAAUACGAAGGGGGCUAGCGUUGUUCGGAUUUACUGGGCGUAAAGCGCACGUAGGCGGACUAUUAAGUCAGGGGUGAAAUCCCGGGGCUCAACCCCGGAACUGCCUUUGAUACUGGUAGUCUUGAGUUCGAGAGAGGUGAGUGGAAUUCCGAGUGUAGAGGUGAAAUUCGUAGAUAUUCGGAGGAACACCAGUGGCGAAGGCGGCUCACUGGCUCGAUACUGACGCUGAGGUGCGAAAGCGUGGGGAGCAGACAGGAUUAGAUACCCUAGUAGUCCCAU
Molecule: ribosomal RNA, 451 nt
Filed under: uncultured organism
Description: partial 16S ribosomal RNA
Rfam family: Bacterial small subunit ribosomal RNA
Source: RNAcentral